RNAcentral lists this ribosomal RNA (484 nucleotides) under uncultured bacterium. RNAcentral describes it as "bacterial SSU rRNA". It matches the Rfam family "Bacterial small subunit ribosomal RNA", at positions 28 to 523 of the family's 1533-position model. The record is from RNAcentral.
GACGAACGCUGGCGGCGUGCUUAACACAUGCAAGUCGAACGAGGUCCACUGCGUAGCAAUACAAGGGAAGACCUAGUGGCGAACGGGUGCGUAACACGUGAGGAACUUGUCCCGGUCUCUGGGAUAACAGUUGGAAACGACUGCUAAUACCGGAUGACGUCGGAAUCUCGCAUGGGAUACUGACGAAAGGGUUACUGGAUCGGGAGAGCCUCGCGGCCUAUCAGCUUGUUGGUGAGGUAACGGCUCACCAAGGCAUCGACGGGUAGCUGGUCUGAGAGGAUGAUCAGCCACACUGGGACUGAGACACAGCCCAGACUCCUACGGGAGGCAGCAGUGGGGAAUCUUGCGCAAUGGGCGAAAGCCUGACGCAGCAACGCCGCGUGCGGGAAGAAGGCCCUCGGGUUGUAAACCGCUUUCAGUAGGAACGAAAUGGCGGUACCUGCAGAAGAAGGUGCGGCCAACUACGUGCCAGCAGCCGCGGUAA